RNAcentral lists this microRNA (21 nucleotides) under Zea mays. RNAcentral describes it as "zma-miR2275c-5p". Lineage: Eukaryota; Viridiplantae; Streptophyta; Magnoliopsida; Poales; Poaceae. The record is from miRBase by way of RNAcentral.
AGGAUUAGAGGGACUUGAACC